GACGAACGCUGGCGGCGUGCCUAAUACAUGCCAGUAGAACGCUGAAGGAGGAGCUUGCUCUUCUGGAUGAGUUGCGAACGGGUGAGUAACGCGUAGGUAACCUGCCUGGUAGCGGGGGAUAACUAUUGGAAACGAUAGCUAAUACCGCAUAACAGUAGAUGUUGCAUGACAUUUACUUAAAAGGUGCAAUUGCAUCACUACCAGAUGGACCUGCGUUGUAUUAGCUAGUUGGUGGGGUAACGGCUCACCAAGGCGACGAUACAUAGCCGACCUGAGAGGGUGAUCGGCCACACUGAGACUGAGACACGGCCCAGACUCCUACGGGAGGCAGCAGUAGGGAAUCUUCGGCAAUGGACGGAAGUCUGACCGAGCAACGCCGCGUGAGUGAAGAAGGUUUUCGGAUCGUAAAGCUCUGUUGUAAGAGAAGAACGAGUGUGAGAGUGGAAAGUUCACACUGUGACGGUAUCUUACCAGAAAGGGACGGCUAACUACGUG
RNAcentral lists this ribosomal RNA (495 nucleotides) under uncultured bacterium. RNAcentral's name for it is "partial 16S ribosomal RNA". It matches the Rfam family "Bacterial small subunit ribosomal RNA", at positions 28 to 507 of the family's 1533-position model. The record is from RNAcentral.